Molecule: ribosomal RNA, 262 nt
Filed under: uncultured Lysobacterales bacterium
Lineage: Bacteria; Pseudomonadati; Pseudomonadota; Gammaproteobacteria; Lysobacterales
Description: uncultured Xanthomonadales bacterium partial 16S ribosomal RNA
Rfam family: Bacterial small subunit ribosomal RNA
Source: RNAcentral
UACGAAGGGUGCAAGCGUUACUCGGAAUUACUGGGCGUAAAGCGUGCGUAGGUGGUUCGUUAAGUCUGAUGUGAAAGCCCUGGGCUCAACCUGGGAACUGCAUUGGAUACUGGCGAUCUGGAGUGCGGUAGAGGGUAGCGGAAUUCCCGGUGUAGCAGUGAAAUGCGUAGAUAUCGGGAGGAACAUCCGUGGCGAAGGCGGCUACCUGGACCAGCACUGACACUGAGGCACGAAAGCGUGGGAGCAAACAGGAUUAGAUACC